Molecule: ribosomal RNA, 506 nt
Filed under: uncultured Glomus
Lineage: Eukaryota; Fungi; Glomeromycota; Glomeromycetes; Glomerales; Glomeraceae
Description: SSU rRNA
Rfam family: Eukaryotic small subunit ribosomal RNA
Source: RNAcentral
AGCAGCCGCGGUAAUUCCAGCUCCAAUAGCGUAUAUUAAAGUUGUUGCAGUUAAAAAGCUCGUAGUUGAAUUUCGGGAUCAGUUGGUCGGUCGUGCCUCGGUACGUACUGGUCAAAUUGAUUCCUACCUUCUGACGAACCACGAUGUCAUUAAUUUGGUGUCGCGGGAAAUCAGGACUGUUACUUUGAAAAAAUUAGAGUGUUUAAAGCAGGCUCGCGCUUGAAUACAUUAGCAUGGAAUAGUGAAAUAGGACGUUUGAUUCUAUUUUGUUGGUUUCUAGGAUCGACGUAAUGAUUAAUAGGGAUGGUUGGGGCAUUAGUAUUCAAUUGUCAGAGGUGAAAUUCUUGGAUUUAUUGAAGACUAACUACUGCGAAAGCAUUUGCCAAGGAUGUUUUCAUUAAUCAAGAACGAAAGUUAGGGGAUCGAAGACGAUCAGAUACCGUCGUAGUCUUAACCAUAAACUAUGCCGACUAGGGAUCGGAUGAUGUUAAUUUUUUAAUGACUCA